This 3268-nucleotide ribosomal RNA is filed under the name Teleopsis dalmanni. RNAcentral's name for it is "eukaryotic LSU rRNA". The stretch from base 1990 to 3254 matches the Rfam family "Eukaryotic large subunit ribosomal RNA", at positions 1891 to 3399 of the family's 3401-position model. Lineage: Eukaryota; Metazoa; Arthropoda; Insecta; Diptera; Diopsidae. The record is from RNAcentral.
AGUAGUAAAUAUGUUUUAGGAAUUUUUGUGGACUUUAAAGGAGCGUUUGAUUAUCUUAGAUGGUCAAGCGUGUUGGAAAGGCUUACGCAAAUAGGUUGUAGAGAUAUGGCACUCUGGCAGAGUUAUUUUUCUGACAGACGUGCCUGUAUAGUUGGAGGUAUAAGCUCAGUAUGGAAAGAUGUAGUUAGAGGAUGCCCGCAGGGAUCUAUCUGUGGUCCAUUUAUCUGGAACAUAAUGAUGGAUUCUCUGUUGCAUCAAUUAGGUGAGUCAGUAAAUUGCUGCGCUUAUGCAGACGAUUUGCUAAUAAUAAUAGAAGGUAGUAGUAGAUUAGAAGUUGAAAAUAAAGCUGCAGACAGUAUGGGUAUAGUUGGAGAAUGGUGCCUAGGUGUAGGUGUAGAAAUAGCACUGGAUAAGACUGUGAUGAUGAUGCUUAAAGGCAUAUUGUCACGGUCUCGCCAUCCGGUUGUUAGGGUAAAUGGCAUCUCGAUUAAAUAUUCAAAAGUGGUCAAGUACUUAGGUAUCAAUAUAGGAGAGAGGAUGAGUUUUUAUCCUCAUCUUGACUAUUUGAAAGAAAAGCUGCGUUCGCUAGUCCCGAAGGUUAGGAAAAUUCUUAGGAAUGAAUGGGGACUGAGUAGGAGAGCGACGCGAACUAUUUAUCAGGGGCUGUUUGUUAGCUGUGUGACAUAUGGAGCUUCUAUAUGGUACGACGUUGUCAUGACUUCGCGGGGCCUCAGAAAGGUCUUGUCGGUUCAACGGGUGGCACUCUUAGGGUCCAUUCCGGUGUGCCAUACAGUAUCUACUGAUGCGUUGCAGGUCCUGAUGGGCGUUGCGCCAUUAGAUCUUAAGGUAGUUAGGCGUGUAGCCGCUUAUAUGAUUAGGAAGAAUGUAGUUUUGCCACAUAUUGACUGGUUAAGUGAUAUUGAUACGAUUUCUACUAGCAGUAAGGAUUUGAAAAACAUUCUUAAUGAAUGUGUCAGAACUAGAUGGCAGGAUAGGUGGGACAGCAGUGAAUGUGGAAGAGUAACCCACGAGUUCAUUCGGGAUGUUACUUUCGUCAGGGAUAGACCAGACUUUGAUUUCGGUCUAAGUUUUGGCUAUCUACUGACGGGACAUGGAUCCUUUAAUGCAUUCUUGCACUUGAGGGGUCUAAGUGACACUCCGAACUGCGUUUGUGGUGAACUUGAAAACUGGCUGCAUGUACUGUGUCAGUGUCCCCUUUAUGAGGAUAUUAGGGACAUGGAAGCAAUAGGUGUUGAAAUAAUAGGUGAUAAUUUUAAUGUAAGUGGAAUUUUAGGAAAUUCACGUAGUACAGUGGCCUUAGGGAUUUUCGCUAAGCGUGCCUUCAAUAGAAGAAGAGCCGCAGGUCGUGUCAACCAGGAAAUUUUGUUUGCCUCAGCGUUGUGAUAGUUUGUUGGUUUCGUUCUUCGGAACAAUAUUUAUGAAGAGUUUUUAAUAGGUUUCAAUAGGUUGUCAUGGGCGCCAUCCCAAUGCUGUUUGGAGCAUUCUGGUAUGUGGAUAAGUUCAUCUGCGGCACCCCACCAGAGGUGUUUCUAAAUCUGGUACCACGGGAUCCAGUUGCCCACAACUUUUGUUGUUCUGGACGUUGGGUUGGCUCCUUAAAGGGAGUGUCGUGGUGGCUGUGGUUAAUACCCAAAUUUACGCGGGUAGAAUGAUUGUAUUCAUUUUCAUUCAUUUUCAUUCACUUUCAUUUAUUCAUUCUCUCAUUCUAUCAUCCAUUCAUUCAUUCAUUUAUUUACUCUCAUUCGAUGUGGAGUUGCAUUUUCCAACCGGGUGCUGUGACCCAUAGAUCAGCAGAGGUGUUAGAUAGGCCUCGCUCCUCACCAAGGGGGAAGUUAUGUCCAAACACAUAACUUCAACUGGUACCGGCGAAAUUCCCUGGAAUUUCAAUGGGGCGUUUAUCGGCGCAUUAUCUUGAUACACGUGUUUUGAACACCGUGGUUUUAAGUCUUCACGACAUAAAAAGCCACGUAAAACAACAAUGGACUUUCCUGUCCCUAUCUACUAUCUAGCGAAACCACAGCCAAGGGAACGGGCUUGGAAUAAUUAGCGGGGAAAGAAGACCCUAUUGAGCUUGACUCUAAUCUGGCAGUGUAAGGAGACAUAAGAGGUGUAGAAUAAGUGGGAGAUAUUUAGAAAUUUAUUUUUAUUUAUCGGCAAUGAAAUACCACUACUCUUAUUGUUUCCUUACUUACUUGAUUAAAUGGAACGUUAUAUGUGCUUAGCCAUAUUAAGGAUCUAUUUUCAAUAGAUCUUAUGGUAUUGGGUCUGAUGCAAGCUCUUGACCAAAGUAUCACGAGUUUGUUAUAUAAUUUAAACAAAAUUUAAUGAAGAUAAUUGUAUUCAUACUUUUAUGGUUAAUUAAAAUUUGGUAAAACUCAACAUCAGUAUACCAAUCCAAGGACUAGUCAGUGGGGAGUUCGACUGGGGCCCAUACAUCUUCAAUAAUAACGGAGGUGUCCCAAGGCCAGCUCAGUGCGGACAGAAACCACACAUAGAGCAAAAGGGCAAAUGCUGACUUGAUCUCGAUGUUCAGUAAACAUAGAGACAGCAAAAGCUCGGCCUAUCGAUCCUUUUGGUUUAAGGAGUUUUUAACAAGAGGUGUCAGAAAAGUUACCAUAGGGAUAACUGGCUUGUGGCGGCCAAGAGUUCAUAGCGACGUCGCUUUUUGAUCUUUCGAUGUCGGCUCUUCCUAUCAUUGUGAAGCAAAAUUCACCAAGCGUUGGAUUGUUCACCCAUUCAAGGGAACGUGAGCUGGGUUUAGACCGUCGUGAGACAGGUUAGUUUAUCCCUACUAUGACAACAUUGUGCAACAAGCAUUCCUGGUAGUACGAGAGGAACCGCAGGUACGGACCAAUGGCACAAUACUUUGGCGAGCGAACAGUGGUAUGACGUACGUCCGUUGAUUAUGCCUGAAACGCCUCUAAGGUCUUCCGUGCUGGACUGCAAUGAUAAUAAUGGGGCAAUUGUAUUGUAUGGCUUCAAACCAUUCGAAGUUAUUUAUUUCAUAUAUAUAACGACAAUGUUUAAUGAUGCCAAUUUUAAAUAUAACAUAGCAAAUGCAGGAGGAUAUUAUCACUUGUAUGACGCGCUAGUUAUAUAUAAAAACAUUAUAAAAUAUAAUGACAAUGCCUAGAAUCAAUUGUAAACGACUUUGGUAGCAGGCAAGGUGUUGUAAGUGGUAGAGCAGCUGCCAUACUGCGAUCCACUGAAGCUUAUCCUUUGCUUGAUGAUUCGAUUUUUGUUCAUC